CUCACCCACUGUAGACACCGGCAACGGCCCUUCGGCAUCAACCCCUUCGGGUUCUGGCUCAUACCCUUCCAGGUGAAGGUCCUGAAAUUUCUCCACCGAAUGCUUCUCCAAGUCUACCACGUUUCCGGCGCCUAUAAAAUCCAAACAAUCCUGAAAGCCGACCGCAUGAAAGGAACCCGCCCCGGCGGCUAUCUCAUCCUUAAACUCUUGUGAUUCUUUAUACUUCUCCACACAGUCCCGGUAGGUAAUAUU
RNAcentral lists this long non-coding RNA (252 nucleotides) under Daucus carota (carrot). RNAcentral's name for it is "long non-coding RNA (DCAR_LNC002616)". The record is from RNAcentral. Lineage: Eukaryota; Viridiplantae; Streptophyta; Magnoliopsida; Apiales; Apiaceae.